RNAcentral lists this ribosomal RNA (305 nucleotides) under uncultured bacterium. RNAcentral's name for it is "bacterial SSU rRNA". It matches the Rfam family "Bacterial small subunit ribosomal RNA", at positions 333 to 656 of the family's 1533-position model. The record is from RNAcentral.
CGUCUCCUACGGGAGGCAGCAGUGGGGAAUAUUGCGCAAUGGGGGAAACCCUGACGCAGCAACGCCGCGUGCAGGAUGAAGGCUUUCGGGUUGUAAACCGCUUUCAGCAGGGAAGAUAAUGACGGUACCUGCAGAAGAAGCCCCGGCUAACUACGUGCCAGCAGCCGCGGUAAUACGUAGGGGGCAAGCGUUAUCCGGAUUCAUUGGGCGUAAAGCGCGCGCAGGCGGGCCGCUAAGCGGGACCUCUAAUCUUGGGGCUCAACCUCAAGCCGAGUCCCGAACUGGCAGCCUCUCGGGCGGUAGGG